RNAcentral lists this ribosomal RNA (773 nucleotides) under uncultured Anaerophaga sp. RNAcentral's name for it is "bacterial SSU rRNA". It matches the Rfam family "Bacterial small subunit ribosomal RNA", at positions 76 to 849 of the family's 1533-position model. The record is from RNAcentral. Lineage: Bacteria; Pseudomonadati; Bacteroidota; Bacteroidia; Marinilabiliales; Marinilabiliaceae.
GUAGCAAUACAUGGUGGCGAGUGGCGCACGGGUACGUAACACGUAUGUAACCUACCUCUAACAGUGGCAUAACAAUGAGAAAUUAUUGCUAAUUCCGCAUGUGGUUAAUUUGAGGCAUCUUAGAUUAACUAAAGAUUUAUCGGUUAGAGCUGGGCAUGCGUCCCAUUAGCUAGUUGGUGAGGUAACGGCUCACCAAGGCAUCGAUGGGUAGGGGCUCUGAGAGGAUUGUCCCCCACACUGGUACUGAGACACGGACCAGACUCCUACGGGAGGCAGCAGUAAGGAAUAUUGGGCAAUGGACGCAAGUCUGACCCAGCCAUGCCGCGUGAAGGAAGACGGCCCUAUGGGUUGUAAACUUCUUUUCUCAGGGGGUAAACUUCGGAACGAGUUCCGGACUGAAAGUACCUGAGGAAUAAGCAUCGGCUAACUCCGUGCCAGCAGCCGCGGUAAUACGGAGGAUGCGAGCGUUAUCCGGAUUCAUUGGGUUUAAAGGGUGCGCAGGCGGAUAUGUAAGUCGGAGGUGAAAUUCUGAUGCUCAACAUCAGCCGUGCCUUCGAUACUGUAUAUCUAGAGUCAAGUUGGAGUAGGCGGAAUGUGUUGUGUAGCGGUGAAAUGCUUAGAUAUAACACAGAACACCGAUCGCGAAGGCAGCUUACUAAACUUUGACUGACGCUCAUGCACGAAAGCGUGGGGAUCAAACAGGAUUAGAUACCCUGGUAGUCCACGCUGUAAACGAUGAUUACUCGCUGUUGGCGAUACACAGUCAGUGGCUA